Molecule: transfer RNA, 71 nt
Filed under: Xenopus tropicalis (tropical clawed frog)
Lineage: Eukaryota; Metazoa; Chordata; Amphibia; Anura; Pipidae
Description: Xenopus (Silurana) tropicalis (western clawed frog) tRNA
Rfam family: tRNA
About the family: Transfer RNA (tRNA) molecules are approximately 80 nucleotides in length.
Source: Rfam by way of RNAcentral
UGGGGUAUAGCUGUUUUUAAAGCAUUUGACUUCCAAUUAAACAGUCCCUGGUUCAACUCCAGAUGCCUCCU